AGUGAACGCUGGCGGUAGGCCUAACACAUGCAAGUCGAACGGCAGCACAGUAAGAGCUUGCUCUUACGGGUGGCGAGUGGCGGACGGGUGAGGAAUACAUCGGAAUCUACUUUUUCGUGGGGGAUAACGUAGGGAAACUUACGCUAAUACCGCAUACGACCUACGGGUGAAAGCAGGGGAUCUUCGGACCUUGCGCGAUUGAAUGAGCCGAUGUCGGAUUAGCUAGUUGGCGGGGUAAAGGCCCACCAAGGCGACGAUCCGUAGCUGGUCUGAGAGGAUGAUCAGCCACACUGGAACUGAGACGCGGUCCAGACUCCUACGGGAGGCAGCAGUGGGGAAUAUUGGACAAUGGGCGCAAGCCUGAUCCAGCCAUACCGCGUGGGUGAAGAAGGCCUUCGGGUUGUAAAGCCCUUUUGUUGGGAAAGAAAAGCAGCAGGUUAAUACCCCGCUGUUCUGACGGUACGCAAAGAAUAAGCACCGGCUAACUUCGUG
Molecule: ribosomal RNA, 492 nt
Filed under: uncultured bacterium
Lineage: Bacteria
Description: partial 16S ribosomal RNA
Rfam family: Bacterial small subunit ribosomal RNA
Source: RNAcentral